CGUCAGCUCGUGUCGUAAGAUGUUGGGUUAAGUCCCGCAAUGAGCGCAACCCUUACGAUUAGUUACUACGAAAGAGGACUCUAAUAGGACUGCCGUUGACAAAACGGAGGAAGGUGGGGAUGACGUCAAAUCAUCAUGCCCUUUAUGACCUGGGCUACACACGUACUACAAUGAUGGUAAACAGAGGGAAGCAAGACCGCGAGGUGGAGCGAACCCCUAAAAGCCAUCUCAGUUCGGAUCGCAGGCUGCAACCCGCCUGC
This 260-nucleotide ribosomal RNA is filed under the name uncultured bacterium. RNAcentral describes it as "partial 16S ribosomal RNA". It matches the Rfam family "Bacterial small subunit ribosomal RNA", at positions 1053 to 1319 of the family's 1533-position model. The record is from RNAcentral.